AUUGAACGCUGGCGGCAUGCUUUACACAUGCAAGUCGAACGGCAGCGCGGGCUUCGGCCUGGCGGCGAGUGGCGAACGGGUGAGUAAUACAUCGGAACAUGCCCAGUAGUGGGGGAUAGCUCGGCGAAAGCCGGAUUAAUACCGCAUACGACCUGAGGGUGAAAGCGGGGGAUCUUCGGACCUCGCGCUAUUGGAGCGGCCGAUGGCAGAUUAGCUAGUUGGUGGGGUAAAGGCCUACCAAGGCGACGAUCUGUAGCUGGUCUGAGAGGACGACCAGCCACACUGGGACUGAGACACGGCCCAGACUCCUACGGGAGGCAGCAGUGGGGAAUUUUGGACAAUGGGCGAAAGCCUGAUCCAGCAAUGCCGCGUGUGUGAUGAAGGCCUUCGGGUUGUAAAGCACUUUUGGCGGGAACGAAAAGGACUGUGCCAAUACCACGGUUCGAUGACGGUACCCGCAGAAUAAGCACCGGCUAACUACGUG
Molecule: ribosomal RNA, 484 nt
Filed under: uncultured bacterium
Lineage: Bacteria
Description: partial 16S ribosomal RNA
Rfam family: Bacterial small subunit ribosomal RNA
Source: RNAcentral